GCGGAUGUAGCUCAGUUGGCUAGAGCGCCACGUUGCCAACGUGGAGGUCGAGGGUUCGAACCCCUUCGUCCGCUCCA
This 77-nucleotide transfer RNA is filed under the name Oligoflexia bacterium. RNAcentral's name for it is "tRNA-Gly". It matches the Rfam family "tRNA". Rfam says of the family: Transfer RNA (tRNA) molecules are approximately 80 nucleotides in length. Their secondary structure includes four short double-helical elements and three loops (D, anti-codon, and T loops). Lineage: Bacteria; Pseudomonadati; Bdellovibrionota; Oligoflexia. The record is from RNAcentral.